GAUGAACGCUGGCGGCGUGCCUAACACAUGCAAGUCGAGCGAUUUACUUCGGUAAAGAGCGGCGGACGGGUGAGUAACGCGUGGGUAACCUGCCCUGUACACACGGAUAACAUACCGAAGGUAUGCUAAUACGAGAUAAUAUGCUUUUAUCGCAUGGUAGAAGUAUCAAAGCUUUUGCGGUACAGGAUGGACCCGCGUCUGAUUAGCUAGUUGGUAAGGUAACGGCUUACCAAGGCGACGAUCAGUAGCCGACCUGAGAGGGUGAUCGGCCACAUUGGAACUGAGACACGGUCCAAACUCCUACGGGAGGCAGCAGUGGGGAAUAUUGCACAAUGGGCGAAAGCCUGAUGCAGCAACGCCGCGUGAGGGAAGAAGUAUUUCGGGUAUGUAAACUUCUAUCAGCAGGGAAGAAAAUGAC
This 418-nucleotide ribosomal RNA is filed under the name uncultured bacterium. Its description in RNAcentral is "bacterial SSU rRNA". It matches the Rfam family "Bacterial small subunit ribosomal RNA", at positions 28 to 455 of the family's 1533-position model. The record is from RNAcentral.